This 1761-nucleotide ribosomal RNA is filed under the name Salmonella enterica. Its description in RNAcentral is "partial 23S ribosomal RNA". It matches the Rfam family "Bacterial large subunit ribosomal RNA", at positions 1059 to 2803 of the family's 2925-position model. The record is from RNAcentral. Lineage: Bacteria; Pseudomonadati; Pseudomonadota; Gammaproteobacteria; Enterobacterales; Enterobacteriaceae.
UUAAGUGGGAAACGAUGUGGGAAGGCCCAGACAGCCAGGAUGUUGGCUUAGAAGCAGCCAUCAUUUAAAGAAAGCGUAAUAGCUCACUGGUCGAGUCGGCCUGCGCGGAAGAUGUAACGGGGCUAAACUAUGCACCGAAGCUGCGGCAGCGACACUAUGUGUUGUUGGGUAGGGGAGCGUUCUGUAAGCCUGUGAAGGUGUGUCGUGAGGCAUGCUGGAGGUAUCAGAAGUGCGAAUGCUGACAUAAGUAACGAUAAAGCGGGUGAAAAGCCCGCUCGCCGGAAGACCAAGGGUUCCUGUCCAACGUUAAUCGGGGCAGGGUGAGUCGACCCCUAAGGCGAGGCCGAAAGGCGUAGUCGAUGGGAAACGGGUUAAUAUUCCCGUACUUGGUGUUACUGCGAAGGGGGGACGGAGAAGGCUAUGUUGGCCGGGCGACGGUUGUCCCGGUUUAAGCGUGUAGGUGUGUGUUCCAGGUAAAUCCGGUUCACUUUAACACUGAGGCGUGAUGACGAGGCACUACGGUGCUGAAGCAACAAAUGCCCUGCUUCCAGGAAAAGCCUCUAAGCAUCAGGUAACAUCAAAUCGUACCCCAAACCGACACAGGUGGUCAGGUAGAGAAUACCAAGGCGCUUGAGAGAACUCGGGUGAAGGAACUAGGCAAAAUGGUGCCGUAACUUCGGGAGAAGGCACGCUGACACGUAGGUGAAGUGAUUUACUCAUGGAGCUGAAGUCAGUCGAAGAUACCAGCUGGCUGCAACUGUUUAUUAAAAACACAGCACUGUGCAAACACGAAAGUGGACGUAUACGGUGUGACGCCUGCCCGGUGCCGGAAGGUUAAUUGAUGGGGUCAGCGCAAGCGAAGCUCCUGAUCGAAGCCCCGGUAAACGGCGGCCGUAACUAUAACGGUCCUAAGGUAGCGAAAUUCCUUGUCGGGUAAGUUCCGACCUGCACGAAUGGCGUAAUGAUGGCCAGGCUGUCUCCACCCGAGACUCAGUGAAAUUGAACUCGCUGUGAAGAUGCAGUGUACCCGCGGCAAGACGGAAAGACCCCGUGAACCUUUACUAUAGCUUGACACUGAACAUUGAGCCUUGAUGUGUAGGAUAGGUGGGAGGCUUUGAAGUGUGGACGCCAGUCUGCAUGGAGCCGACCUUGAAAUACCACCCUUUAAUGUUUGAUGUUCUAACGUGGACCCGUGAUCCGGGUUGCGGACAGUGUCUGGUGGGUAGUUUGACUGGGGCGGUCUCCUCCUAAAGAGUAACGGAGGAGCACGAAGGUUGGCUAAUCCUGGUCGGACAUCAGGAGGUUAGUGCAAUGGCAUAAGCCAGCUUGACUGCGAGCGUGACGGCGCGAGCAGGUGCGAAAGCAGGUCAUAGUGAUCCGGUGGUUCUGAAUGGAAGGGCCAUCGCUCAACGGAUAAAAGGUACUCCGGGGAUAACAGGCUGAUACCGCCCAAGAGUUCAUAUCGACGGCGGUGUUUGGCACCUCGAUGUCGGCUCAUCACAUCCUGGGGCUGAAGUAGGUCCCAAGGGUAUGGCUGUUCGCCAUUUAAAGUGGUACGCGAGCUGGGUUUAGAACGUCGUGAGACAGUUCGGUCCCUAUCUGCCGUGGGCGCUGGAGAACUGAGGGGGGCUGCUCCUAGUACGAGAGGACCGGAGUGGACGCAUCACUGGUGUUCGGGUUGUCAUGCCAAUGGCACUGCCCGGUAGCUAAAUGCGGAAGAGAUAAGUGCUGAAAGCAUCUAAGCACGAAACUUGCCCCGAG